Clupea harengus (Atlantic herring) is the source of this 1548-nucleotide long non-coding RNA. Lineage: Eukaryota; Metazoa; Chordata; Actinopteri; Clupeiformes; Clupeidae. The record is from Ensembl.
AAGGAUGGACUCAGCCGACUCAGACUCAGUGCUCAGAUGCAGUUUGAGCAAACAAGCCUCCUCUCUCUGCCUCGUGACAAGGGAAAUAGAGGAGCAAGGGAGAAGUUCCCUGAAGUUCCUGAACCUGCUGUUGGGACAAUUCGAGCAGCUCCUGGAUCGUUGGGAUUCCCUCGCUGCACCUCCCUCUCCAGCUCCGGUUCCAUGCCGCCUGGAUUCCGGCUCCAGGGUUUCAGCUUCACUCACCAAUACUGCUCUGGCUUCAGCUCCGACUCCACGUCUCCUGCCUCCCGCCUUCAGGACAGCCGCAGCCGCCCUAGGAAGAGCUUCUGACGCUGCCGCCCCUGAAGUAGCCUCCGUUGCUACCGCCCCAGAAGCAGCCUCUGACGCUGCCGCCUCCGAGGUCGUCGCUGCUGCCCCAGAUGUAGCCUCCGUCGCUACCACUCCCAAAGCAGCCUCUGCCUCUCCCGAAGCAGCUUCUGAUGCUGCCACCCCCGAAGCAGCCUCUGACGCUGCCGCCCCCGACGUAGCCUCUGUCGCUACCACCGCAGAAGCAGUCUUUGAUGCCACUGACGUAGCCUCCGUCGCUACCGCUCUCGAAGCACCCACUGCUGCCCCCGACGUAGCCUCUGACGCUGCCGCCCCAGAAGCAGCCUCUGACGCUGCCGCCCCCGACAUAGCCUCUAUCGCUACCACCCCAGAAGCAGCCUCUGACGCUACCGCCCCCGACGUAGCCUCUGUCGCUACCACCCCAGAAGCUGCCUCUGAUGCCACUGACGUAGCCUCCGUCGCUACCGCUCCCGAAGUACCCACUGCUGCCCCCGACGUAGUCUCUGUUGCUAGCAACCCCGAAGCAGCCUCUGUCGCUGCUGUCCCUGAAGCAGCCUCUGAUGCCACUGACGUAGCCUCCGUCGCUACCGCUCCCGAAGCACCCACUGCUGCCCCCGACGUAGCUUCUGUUGCUAGCAACCCCGAAGCAGCCUCUGUCGCUGCUGUCCCUGAAGCAGUCUCUGAAGAAAUUGCUGAUGGUGACGCCACUGAGGCCUACGCCACAGCAGAACCAGCCGCCGCAGAUCAAGCCGCCGCUCUCCCUGCAGACCCGGCCGUCGCUGACCCUGCAGACCCGGCCGUCGCUGACCCUGCAGACCCAGCCGUCGCUGACCCAGCAGACCCAGCCGACGCUCACCCAGCUUGUGCGUACCCUACAGCCAGCGCUGCCGACCCGGACCCCGCAGCCACCGCUGCCGACCCGCACCCCGCAGCUGACCCGGACCCUGCUGCCACAGCUGCCAACCAAGAUCCUCCAGCAUCCGUUUCCGAUGCAGGCCCAGCAGCACCCUCUGCCGAGACCGGUCCAGCAGCACCUUCUGAUGGCGUCGCUGCUGAGGGCUCUGCUGUUCCAAGCGCCCCUGGCCGGAGUGCCCCUGUCCCGAGCGCCCCUGUCCCGAGCGCCCCUGUCCCGAGCGCCCCUGUCCCGAGCGCCCCUGUCCCGAGCGCCCCUGUCCCGAGCGUCCCAGGCGCCCCUGUCCCGAGCGUCCCAGGCUCCCCUGU